Small nucleolar RNA from Fukomys damarensis (Damara mole-rat), 137 nucleotides. The record is from Ensembl. NCBI's taxonomy places the organism in Eukaryota, Metazoa, Chordata, Mammalia, Rodentia, Bathyergidae.
UGCAGUCAAGUCAAAUUCAGCACUCAUUUCAUCAUGCUGGGGUCUGGCCCAGAUUGCUGCUGCAGCAAGCUCUGCUGCUUAUGGACUAUAUACGUCCCCUGCCUGGGACCUGGGGAUAAAUUUGGCUGUAGACAUUG